Molecule: transfer RNA, 77 nt
Filed under: Bacillus subtilis
Lineage: Bacteria; Bacillati; Bacillota; Bacilli; Caryophanales; Bacillaceae
Also listed under: 19 other names
Description: tRNA-Asn(gtt)
Rfam family: tRNA
About the family: Transfer RNA (tRNA) molecules are approximately 80 nucleotides in length. Their secondary structure includes four short double-helical elements and three loops (D, anti-codon, and T loops). Further hydrogen bonds mediate the characteristic L-shaped molecular structure. tRNAs have two regions of fundamental functional importance: the anti-codon, which is responsible for specific mRNA codon recognition, and the 3' end, to which the tRNAs corresponding amino acid is attached (by aminoacyl-tRNA synthetases). tRNAs cope with the degeneracy of the genetic code in two manners: having more than one tRNA (with a specific anti-codon) for a particular amino acid; and 'wobble' base-pairing, i.e. permitting non-standard base-pairing at the 3rd anti-codon position.
Source: RNAcentral
GUGCUCGUAGCUCAGGUGGUUAGAGCAUCGGUCUGUUAAACCGAGUGUCGUAGGUUCGAAUCCUACCGAGUACGCCA